Molecule: ribosomal RNA, 445 nt
Filed under: uncultured organism
Description: partial 16S ribosomal RNA
Rfam family: Bacterial small subunit ribosomal RNA
Source: RNAcentral
CACUCCUGCGGGAGGCAGCAGUGGGGAAUAUUGGACAAUGGGCGCAAGCCUGAUCCAGCCAUGCCGCGUGAGUGAUGAAGGCCCUAGGGUUGUAAAGCUCUUUCACCGGUGAAGAUAAUGACGGUAACCGGAGAAGAAGCCCCGGCUAACUUCGUGCCAGCAGCCGCGGUAAUACGAAGGGGGCUAGCGUUGUUCGGAUUUACUGGGCGUAAAGCGCACGUAGGCGGACUAUUAAGUCAGGGGUGAAAUCCCGGGGCUCAACCCCGGAACUGCCUUUGAUACUGGUAGUCUUGAGUUCGAGAGAGGUGAGUGGAAUUCCGAGUGUAGAGGUGAAAUUCGUAGAUAUUCGGAGGAACACCAGUGGCGAAGGCGGCUCACUGGCUCGAUACUGACGCUGAGGUGCGAAAGCGUGGGGAGCAAACAGGAUUAGAUACCCCUGUAGUCC